RNAcentral lists this ribosomal RNA (692 nucleotides) under Nannizzia persicolor. RNAcentral describes it as "eukaryotic LSU rRNA". The stretch from base 283 to 436 matches the Rfam family "5.8S ribosomal RNA". The record is from RNAcentral. Lineage: Eukaryota; Fungi; Ascomycota; Eurotiomycetes; Onygenales; Arthrodermataceae.
GGAAGUAAAAGUCGUAACAAGGUUUCCGUAGGUGAACCUGCGGAAGGAUCAUUAACGCGCAGGCCGCAGACGACCCUCCCCCGGGCUCUUCCGGGGGAGGUGGCGCCGGCCACACGCCCAUUCUUGUCUAUCUACCUGGUUGCCUCGGCGGACCGCGCCCCUCGUGCCGCGUCUCGAGGAGCCGUUCGGGGGGGAGGAACCCCCUGGACCGCGUCCGCCGGAGGAGCGAUUAAAACCCAUGAAUACGGUUCAGUCUGAGCGUUAGCAAGUAAAAUCAGUUAAAACUUUCAACAACGGAUCUCUUGGUUCCGGCAUCGAUGAAGAACGCAGCGAAAUGCGAUAAGUAAUGUGAAUUGCAGAAUUCCGUGAAUCAUCGAAUCUUUGAACGCACAUUGCGCCCUCUGGUAUUCCGGGGGGCAUGCCUGUUCGAGCGUCAUUUCAACCCCUCAAGCCCGGCUUGCGUGAUGGACGACCGUCCCGACCCUCCCCGCCUCGGGGAGGGGGGACGCGCCCGAAAAGCAGUGGCCAGGCCGCGAUUCCGGCUCCUGGGCGAAUGGGCAACAAACCAGCGCCUCUAGGACCCGGCCGGCUCUCUGGCCUAGUUUUGGUCAAGGACUCGUUCCUUCACAAUCAGGUUGACCUCGGAUCAGGUAGGGAUACCCGCUGAACUUAAGCAUAUCAAUAAGCGGAGG